CUUCAAGGCUCAACAUGAAGGUUAGGGCUGUGACUCAACUGGUAGAAUCCUUACCUACCAUGCACAAGGCCCUGGGUUUCAUCCCUAGCACCAUACACACCAGGUAUAUAGGUGCACAACGGUAGUCCAGCAUUUGGGAGGUAGAAACAGAGGAAGAUCUCAAGUUCAAGACUGUCCGCAACUACACAAUCAGAUAGAGAACUCUCAGCUACCUUUCCAGUGCCGUGUCUGUCUGGAAGCUGCCAUGUUUUUCACCAUGACAACAAUGGACUAAACCUCUGAACUGUCCAGCCCUGUUGACAAGCGAAAGUCACUCAGCUCUCGAUCCUGGACCUACCCACAGCCCCGCUCUACACUGGCAAAGGGACCCAGAAUAUCAAGGAAAGGGGAAAGGAACAGGAGGGUUCCUGUCUCCGCCUAGGUUCCAAGACAUCGCCUUCACCCACUCCCGGGGCUUGGCAACUGGACACGGAAGCAAAACCCAGGAAGCUACUGGUUGACUGAAAGAGGGAGGGGAUCAAAAAAGCAAGAUGAAAAAAAGGAGAAAUUCGAAAGAGGGGACCGUCAAGUGGAAAGCUCUACCCAUUCUCUUAGCAAAAGGUAGAAUCUCUGACCAAUUCCCAACCCUAGGAUUCCACCCUCUGCCCCCUUUUCUAGUUAAAGGAUCACCCGAAGCACCAUAAAAGUCUUUGAAGGGUUUCUGAAGCCAUCCGGACACGCGGAAAAGCCUAACUCGCCUGGACCCGCACAAUGUACGAAACGGCGCAGGGAUCGGGUCCCUUGAGCGUCUCCCACGACCCUAUCAAGCUGCCCACAGGACGCCUGAGUAACGCGCCCUGUCCCCGGGCCGGUGCUGCAGUGUUCUCGCAAAGGACAGGUACUCCCCAGACCGGGAGUCGCCAGGGUUUCGUCCCGUGCCUCCCACGCCGCCAUCCGCCACAAGGCAAAGGAAGAAAGCGCAUGGGGCGACCGGGGACUGGCCGCACCAAGUCGGUCGUCAGGUGAUGUCGGCUAGCUCAGCAUGAACCCCGGAGCGGCGCCACUGGAAAGCCACAGUGCCCAGGGAGAAGACGGGGUGAGCGCGAGGACCUACCGCGGU
Long non-coding RNA from Mesocricetus auratus (golden hamster), 1099 nucleotides. RefSeq lists it as uncharacterized. The transcript has 4 exons. Lineage: Eukaryota; Metazoa; Chordata; Mammalia; Rodentia; Cricetidae. The record is from RefSeq and is a predicted model, not a curated record.